GAGGUCUUUAGGGGUCGACUCUAAGACUAUGCGUAGAAAACUACCUCUCUAUCUUUCUUGAGAGAGCCGACUCAAGGCUUGUGGGAGUCGACUCAAGAUCUAUACCGGUGCUACUCUACAUAUCAAAAUCAACUCUAGGACUUUUUGAGUCGACUCAAGACCUAUGCCAAAUUUUAAAAUUGAGCUAGAGUUGACUCUACUCCUUCAAGAGUCGACUCGAGGCCAUCAUCACUUGAAAUUUACAUGGCUUAAUCUUUUUAAUCUAUCUUCUUUG
RNAcentral lists this long non-coding RNA (274 nucleotides) under Elaeis guineensis (African oil palm). RNAcentral describes it as "long non-coding RNA (EGUI_LNC071227)". The record is from RNAcentral. Lineage: Eukaryota; Viridiplantae; Streptophyta; Magnoliopsida; Arecales; Arecaceae.